UAGCGUAUAUUAAAGUUGUUGCAGUUAAAAAGCUCGUAGUCGGAUUUCGGGGCGGGCCGACCGGUCUGCCGAUGGGUAUGCACUGGUCGGCGCGUCUCUUCUUCCGGAGACCGCGCCUACUCUUAACUGAGCGGGCGCGGGAGACGGAUCGUUUACUUUGAAAAAAUCAGAGUGCUUCAAGCAGGCAGCUCGCUCUUGCAUGGAUUAGCAUGGGAUAAUGAAAUAGGACUCUGGUGCUAUUUUGUUGGUUUCGAACACCGGAGUAAUGAUUAACAGGGACAGUCAGGGGCACUCGUAUUCCGUCGAGAGAGGUGAAAUUCUCAGACCAAUGGAAGACGAACCACUGCGAAAGCAUUUG
RNAcentral lists this ribosomal RNA (358 nucleotides) under Haptophyta environmental samples. Its description in RNAcentral is "SSU rRNA". It matches the Rfam family "Eukaryotic small subunit ribosomal RNA", at positions 595 to 957 of the family's 1831-position model. The record is from RNAcentral. Lineage: Eukaryota; Haptophyta.